This 377-nucleotide ribosomal RNA is filed under the name uncultured organism. RNAcentral describes it as "partial 16S ribosomal RNA". It matches the Rfam family "Bacterial small subunit ribosomal RNA", at positions 523 to 896 of the family's 1533-position model. The record is from RNAcentral.
GGGGGGGGGGGGCAAGCGUUGUUCGGAAUUACUGGGCGUAAAGGGGCGUGUAGGCGGUCCUGCAAGUCUUUCGUGAAAUCCCACAGCUCAACUGUGGAACUGCGAGGGGAAACUGCAGGACUUGAGUCCGGGAGAGGAGAGUGGAAUUCCCAGUGUAGCGGUGAAAUGCGUAGAUAUUGGGAGGAACACCGGUGGCGAAGGCGGCUCUCUGGACCGGUACUGACGCUGAGGCGCGAAAGCUAGGGGAGCAAACGGGAUUAGAUACCCCGGUAGUCCUAGCCUUAAACGAUGAGCACUUGGUGUGGCGGGUAUCGACCCCUGCCGUGCCGAAGCUAACGCAUUAAGUGCUCCGCCUGGGGAGUACGGUCGCAAGGCUG